AACAUCAGGGAGAGGGAAGGGGGAAUGGCUCCAGCCUCCUCAAAUCCCUCCCCCAGCUCCAGCUGGAGAGUGGCAGCAAUGCUUGUCCCAGGUCCAGCCUCCCUCCAAGGAAACAUAAAUGUACCUGGGGUGAUAACAGCCCCCUUGAAGACUGCUUGGCACCAGGGAAAGGGAGAUUGGACACGGUGCUCCACUUCUUCCUUCUUCUUGAGGACCAGGAAAAGAUGAUCCAAACAGUCUCCAGUGAACAGAGAAAUCAUUGAGGUCACCAAGGAUGAGCUUUUCUCAGGUCCUGCAUCAGCUUUGGAAGAGGACUACCAACCAAAGCAAUCUUUUUCUCCCAUACCUUGAACACUAUCAGAGUUUGGUUUGAGCUGCUGCCCUGGCAGCCCUCCAAGGGAAAACACCAAUAGUGUCCCAGGAGGCAAGCAGGUGUGCUGCCAUCCCCAGGAGAGCAGGAAUCCACCACAGGUCUGUUGUUUUAAAACUCAGUCUAUAUAUCACCCAAAAUCUUGCCUCUGUGGAGGGAUAGUUCAGACCCCAUCAUUGUGUUAAUAAAUUCAGAAUCACCUCAUCAGAUUUCUUCAGUUUCUGGGAACCUUUAAACCCUGGCAAUUCUAUAAAUAACAGAAUCACAGAAUAAGGAGUUCUGGAAAAUUCAGACAUCACAGAUCUGAGCUCUCCCACUGUUUUGAGCCAAAGUCUAUCCUGUCAUAUCAGUGGCUCAGGGGAUCUGCCUGAACAUCAUGGCUGAGAUAAAUUUUAUCAUCACGCCAGUUCUCUUCACCAAAGGUACAGGAACCUCUCCUAAUCUGGCACUGAAUUUGGGGGUGUGAAUGUCACUGCAGCUGCCAGAGACCAUCUCGUGGCCAUUAAUGGAACAAAGUUAUUCUAAGAAUUAAGUAGAUGGAGAAUAUGUUUUAUUUUAAGCUGAAGAGCAUUCCUCAAAAGCAUGUUCAAUACCUUAAGGAAUUUUUUUAAAAAAUCUGGCUAUCAGGGAAACUCCAGACAUUACUAGAAAGUGGUUUCCAAGGUCAAAAUGAAAUGCACACCCAAAUCUCCACUCACUGACAAAUUCACUCCUCUUCACCUUUCUAAGUUGUGCAGUGGUGGGAGGUAGGAGAGAUGGGGAGAAGUUGAAGAGUUCUGUGAACACUUUUCCCCCUUUAAAUGUACAUUUUCUAGGUAAAUUUUAAAAUAAAAACAGAGGGAUGAUAAAAAUCUUCCCCUGAUGGGUAAAAAUAUUAACAAGUAUUUUCCUAAUAAUUUCUUGAAAAAAACUUCCUUUGUUUUCCCAUUAAAAUUCAAAAUAAAGUGAAAAAUACUGAAUUAUUGGAAA
Passer domesticus (house sparrow) is the source of this 1339-nucleotide long non-coding RNA. RefSeq lists it as uncharacterized. The transcript is spliced from 5 exons. The record is from RefSeq and is a predicted model, not a curated record. NCBI's taxonomy places the organism in Eukaryota, Metazoa, Chordata, Aves, Passeriformes, Passeridae.